Molecule: non-coding RNA, 70 nt
Organism: Dipodomys ordii (Ord's kangaroo rat)
Lineage: Eukaryota; Metazoa; Chordata; Mammalia; Rodentia; Heteromyidae
Source: Rfam
GGGAAUGUGGCUUAGUGGUAGAGAGCUUGCCUAGCAUGCAUGAAGCCCUGGGUUCAAUUCCUCAGUACCA